RNAcentral lists this ribosomal RNA (504 nucleotides) under uncultured Glomeromycotina. RNAcentral's name for it is "SSU rRNA". It matches the Rfam family "Eukaryotic small subunit ribosomal RNA", at positions 569 to 1078 of the family's 1831-position model. The record is from RNAcentral. Lineage: Eukaryota; Fungi; Glomeromycota.
AGCAGCCGCGGUAAUUCCAGCUCCAAUAGCGUAUAUUAAAGUUGUUGCAGUUAAAAAGCUCGUAGUUGAAUUUCGGGAUCAGUAGGUUGGUCAUGCCUUCGGUAUGUACUGGUCUCACUGAUUCCUCCCUCUUGAAGAACCGUAAUGUCAUUAAUUUGAUGUUGCGGGGAAACAGGACUGUUACUUUGAAAAAUUAGAGUGUUUAAAGCAGGCUCACGCUUGAAUACAUUAGCAUGGAAUAAUGAAAUAGGACGUUCGAUCCUAUUUUGUUGGUUUCUAGGAUUGACGUAAUGAUUAAUAGGGAUAGUUGGGGGCAUUAGUAUUCAAUUGUCAGAGGUGAAAUUCUUGGAUUUAUUGAAGACUAACUACUGCGAAAGCAUUUGCCAAGGAUGUUUUCAUUAAUCAAGAACGAAAGUUAGGGGAUCGAAGACGAUCAGAUACCGUCGUAGUACUUAACCAUAAACUAUGCCGACUAGGGAUCGGAUGAUGUUAGUUUUUAAUGUA